CUGAUAAGUGCUAAAUAAUGCAUAAAUUAACCUUUUAUUCAUAGCACUUAUCAUUAUUUUAAUUUGCAUAUUUCGUAAAUUUAACCAUUCAAUAUGUGUUACCAUCAUGAUUGCAUUUUAAUAAUUAUCAGAGGUAAUUCGAGUUGAUUUAAUUAUUUAAUGGUUGAGUCUAAUGGAUGCAGGUCAAGUCGAAUUGAUUUAGGAUGAUCUCUGAACCCAAAUCGCAUGCACCCCGCAAAUCAAGACCCUCUGAUUCAGUCACCUAAUUUUCUUUUCACUCGUUCCAACUCUUUCUUCACAUGAUCCAAUUUUAAUCUCAAAAACAAUAAAAUCCCUUCAAUUAUUUGUUUCUCAGAUCUCAAAGCAUACCAUC
This 373-nucleotide long non-coding RNA is filed under the name Phoenix dactylifera (date palm). RNAcentral's name for it is "long non-coding RNA (PDAC_LNC009950)". Lineage: Eukaryota; Viridiplantae; Streptophyta; Magnoliopsida; Arecales; Arecaceae. The record is from RNAcentral.